Molecule: ribosomal RNA, 497 nt
Filed under: uncultured bacterium
Lineage: Bacteria
Description: partial 16S ribosomal RNA
Rfam family: Bacterial small subunit ribosomal RNA
Source: RNAcentral
GACGAACGCUGGCGGCGUGCCUAAUACAUGCAAGUCGAGCGCCGAAGGUUGGUACUUGUACCGACUGGAUGAGCAGCGAACGGGUGAGUAACGCGUGGGGAAUCUGCCUUUGAGCGGGGGACAACAUUUGGAAACGAAUGCUAAUACCGCAUAAAAACUUUAAACACAAGUUUUAAGUUUGAAAGAUGCAAUUGCAUCACUCAAAGAUGAUCCCGCGUUGUAUUAGCUAGUUGGUGAGGUAAAGGCUCACCAAGGCGAUGAUACAUAGCCGACCUGAGAGGGUGAUCGGCCACAUUGGGACUGAGACACGGCCCAAACUCCUACGGGAGGCAGCAGUAGGGAAUCUUCGGCAAUGGACGAAAGUCUGACCGAGCAACGCCGCGUGAGUGAAGAAGGUUUUCGGAUCGUAAAACUCUGUUGGUAGAGAAGAACGUUGGUGAGAGUGGAAAGCUCAUCAAGUGACGGUAACUACCCAGAAAGGGACGGCUAACUACGUG